GAGCAAGGUCAUUAAUUUAGAAUGAUGCUAUCUUGCAUUGAAGGUUGGCAAUAUGAAUCAUAGGCGAUUCUCCGUGCCUUUCGAACUUUGUUUGUGUCGAUUGCGGCCUCGAACAAAUCGCUACAUU
Beta vulgaris subsp. vulgaris (sugar beet) is the source of this 127-nucleotide non-coding RNA. The record is from Rfam. NCBI's taxonomy places the organism in Eukaryota, Viridiplantae, Streptophyta, Magnoliopsida, Caryophyllales, Amaranthaceae.